CCACCCAUUUAAGUCUGCCCCCAGUACCUGAGUUACCUAGGUAACUGGCACACCUGGAGGCAAUUACCUCCCCCUUUUCUGAGGUCAGAUCCAAUCCACCUGGCCAUAUCUCCCACCUUUUUCUAUAUAAUCUGGUUCAACACGGUUCCUGCUCUCUUUCCUUUUCUCUUUUACUCUCUCUUGCUCUUUUCUCCCUUUUUCCCUUCUUCCUUCCCCUCUGUCUCCCCAUGUCUCUAUUUUGUGUGGGCUGGAAGUUUGCUUUCCUCCCAAUAAACUCCUUUCUGCCUGAACCAUGUGUUCAAAGCUGGUACUCUACCAUUUGAGCCACAG
Long non-coding RNA from Perognathus longimembris pacificus (Pacific pocket mouse), 330 nucleotides. RefSeq lists it as uncharacterized. The transcript has 3 exons. Lineage: Eukaryota; Metazoa; Chordata; Mammalia; Rodentia; Heteromyidae. The record is from RefSeq and is a predicted model, not a curated record.